UUAGCGAAGGCAUGAGCUACUUGGCGAAGGUAAAUGGUUAUACCCUCCCUCUGCCUUCCAUACUUAUCUUCAUAUUCAUAUAUCUGAAAACUGAUCAAAUAAUACUGAACAUGUACAGGCAAAUGCUGUAUUUGGGCGUCUACGUCCAAGAUCUCUCGAGGAUAAAUCCGGAGAGGAGGCGCUGAGGAAGGAGAACUCCAUCCUGGAGUCUGCCUUGGCUCGGGAAAGGACCCAACGUGAAGGCAUCCUUCGUACCAAUGAAGGACUUUAGAAAGAGUUGGCCCAAGCCAAGGAAGAUGUGAAGACCUCCAAGGAAGAACUGAAGUCGACUAAAGCACAGCAUGCUGAAAUCGUUAAUAUGAACGUCGACUUGGUUCAGAGGAGUGAACUAAGGAUGAACAAGAUCAAGGAUCUGAAGGCUGACGCUAAAAUCUUGAUCAAGACGAUCCAUAAGCUGGAGCGGGAAGGAACCCGUCAGAUGAAUAUACGGCAGCAGCUCGAGCAAGAAAUCCGAGAACUCAAG
Molecule: long non-coding RNA, 523 nt
Filed under: Panax ginseng (ginseng)
Lineage: Eukaryota; Viridiplantae; Streptophyta; Magnoliopsida; Apiales; Araliaceae
Description: long non-coding RNA (PGIN_LNC014660)
Source: RNAcentral